This 487-nucleotide ribosomal RNA is filed under the name uncultured bacterium. Its description in RNAcentral is "bacterial SSU rRNA". It matches the Rfam family "Bacterial small subunit ribosomal RNA", at positions 28 to 514 of the family's 1533-position model. The record is from RNAcentral.
GAUGAACGCUAGCGGCAGGCUUAACACAUGCAAGUCGAGGGGCAGCACGUCUUCGGAUGGUGGCGACCGGCGCACGGGUGCGUAACGCGUAUAGAACCUACCUUUUACAGGGGAAUAGCCCAGAGAAAUUUGGAUUAAUGCCCCAUAGUAUUAUUAGAUGGCAUCAUUUGAUAAUUAAACAUUUAUGGGUAAAAGAUGGCUAUGCGUUCUAUUAGCUAGAUGGUAAGGUAACGGCUUACCAUGGCGACGAUAGAUAGGGGUCCUGAGAGGGAGAUCCCCCACACUGGUACUGAGACACGGACCAGACUCCUACGGGAGGCAGCAGUGAGGAAUAUUGGACAAUGGGCGAGAGCCUGAUCCAGCCAUGCCGCGUGCAGGAAGACGGUCCUAUGGAUUGUAAACUGCUUUUAUACAGGAAGAAACACUCCCUCGUGAGGGAAUUUGACGGUACUGUAUGAAUAAGCACCGGCUAACUCCGUGCCAGCAG